GCGUCUCAUCAGUCGCUUUAAAUCUUUUUCUUCUUACUAAUGUCUUGUCUCGCCACUCUCAUUCCUAUUUCAUGAUCAUUAUUGUAUCUUGAA
Trachymyrmex septentrionalis is the source of this 93-nucleotide long non-coding RNA. RefSeq lists it as uncharacterized. NCBI's taxonomy places the organism in Eukaryota, Metazoa, Arthropoda, Insecta, Hymenoptera, Formicidae. The transcript is spliced from 3 exons. The record is from RefSeq and is a predicted model, not a curated record.